CAGUCGAGCGAAUGGAUUAAGAGCUUGCUCUUAUGAAGUUAGCGGCGGACCGGUGAGUAACACGUGGGUAACCUGCCCAUAAGACUGGGAUAACUCCGAGGAAACCGGGGCUAAUACCGGAUAACAUUUUGAACCGCAUGGUUCGAAAUUGAAAGGCGGCUUCGGCUGUCACUUAUGGAUGGACCCGCGUCGCAUUAGCUAGUUGGUGAGGUAACGGCUCACCAAGGCAACGAUGCGUAGCCGACCUGAGAGGGUGAUCGGCCACACUGGGACUGAGACACGGCCCAGACUCCUACGGGAGGCAGCAGUAGGGAAUCUUCCGCAAUGGACGAAAGUCUGACGGAGCAACGCCGCGUGAGUGAUGAAGGCUUUCGGGUCGUAAAACUCUGUUGUUAGGGAAGAACAAGUGCUAGUUGAAUAAGCUGGCACCUUGACGGUACCUAACCAGAAAGCCACGGCUAACUACGUGCCAGCAGCCGCGGUAAUACGUAGGUGGCAAGCGUUAUCCGGAAUUAUUGGGCGUAAAGCGCGCGCAGGUGGUUUCUUAAGUCUGAUGUGAAAGCCCACGGCUCAACCGUGGAGGGUCAUUGGAAA
This 594-nucleotide ribosomal RNA is filed under the name Bacillus sp. CH375b_12D. RNAcentral's name for it is "bacterial SSU rRNA". It matches the Rfam family "Bacterial small subunit ribosomal RNA", at positions 59 to 632 of the family's 1533-position model. The record is from RNAcentral. Lineage: Bacteria; Bacillati; Bacillota; Bacilli; Caryophanales; Bacillaceae.